ACCUGGGUGGCUCAGUUGACUGGGCGUCUGACUUUGACUCAGGUCAUGAUCUCAUGGUUCGUGGGUUCGAGCCCCACCUUGGGCU
This 85-nucleotide transfer RNA is filed under the name Felis catus (domestic cat). It matches the Rfam family "tRNA". From Rfam's summary of the family: Transfer RNA (tRNA) molecules are approximately 80 nucleotides in length. Their secondary structure includes four short double-helical elements and three loops (D, anti-codon, and T loops). Lineage: Eukaryota; Metazoa; Chordata; Mammalia; Carnivora; Felidae. The record is from Rfam by way of RNAcentral.